This 229-nucleotide ribosomal RNA is filed under the name uncultured bacterium. RNAcentral's name for it is "partial 16S ribosomal RNA". It matches the Rfam family "Bacterial small subunit ribosomal RNA", at positions 88 to 334 of the family's 1533-position model. The record is from RNAcentral.
ACUACGAGCGGCGGACGGCUGAGUAACACGUUGGAAUCUGCCCCGAACUCAGGAAUAACACACCGAAAGGUGUGCUAAUACCGGAUAGUCCCGCAAGGGUAAAGCUUUUGCGGUUCGGGAGGAUCCUGCGGCCUAUCAGUUAGUUGGUGAGGUAAUGGCUCACCAAGACGAUGACGGGUAGCUGGUCUGAGAGGAUGAUCAGCCAGACUGGGACUGAGACACGGUCCAG